Molecule: microRNA precursor, 105 nt
Filed under: Marmota monax (woodchuck)
Lineage: Eukaryota; Metazoa; Chordata; Mammalia; Rodentia; Sciuridae
Source: RNAcentral
AGUGGAAUUGCUGGGUCAUAUGUGUAACUCUAUGUUUAACAUUUUGAGGAACUGCCAAACUGCUUUGCAAAGUGACUAUACCAUUUUUACAUUCCUGCCUGCAAC